RNAcentral lists this ribosomal RNA (497 nucleotides) under uncultured bacterium. RNAcentral's name for it is "partial 16S ribosomal RNA". It matches the Rfam family "Bacterial small subunit ribosomal RNA", at positions 28 to 507 of the family's 1533-position model. The record is from RNAcentral.
GUUGAACGCUGGCGGCGUGCCUAAUACAUGCAAGUCGAGCGAACAGACGAGGAGCUUGCUCCUCUGACGUUAGCGGCGGACGGGUGAGUAACACGUGGAUAACUUAUCUAUAGGACUGUGAUAUCUUCGGGAAACCGGAGCUAAUACCGGAUAAUAUAGUGAGACGCAUGGUUCAAUAGUGAACGACGGUUUUGCUGUCACUUGUAGGUGGAUCCGCGCCGCAUUAGCUAGUUGGUAAGGUAACGGCUUACCAAGGCAACGAUGCGUAGCCGACCUGAGAGGGUGAUCGGCCACACUGGAACUGAGACACGGUCCAGACUCCUACGGGAGGCAGCAGUGGGGAAUUUUCCGCAAUGGGCGAAAGCCUGAUGGAGCAACGCCGCGUGAGUGAAGAAGGUCUUCGGAUCGUAAAGCACUGUUAUUCGGGAAGAACAAAUGUGUAAGUAAAUAUGCACGUGUUGACGGUACCUAAUGAGAAAGCAACGGCUAACUACGUG